GAUGAAGAACGCAGCGAAAUGCGAUACGUAAUGUGAAUUGCAAAUUCAGUGAAUCAUCGAGUCUUUGAACGCACAUUGCGCCCCCUGGUAUUCCGGGGGGCAUGCCUGUCCGAGCGUCAUUGCUGCCCUCAAGCACGGCUUGUGUGUUGGGCCCCGUCCUCCGAUCCCGGGGGACGGGCCCGAAAGGCAGCGGCGGCACCGCGUCCGGUCCUCGAGCGUAUGGGGCUUUGUCACCCGCUCUGUAGGCCCGGCCGUCGCUUGCCGAUCAACCCAAAUUUUUAUCCAGGUUGACCUCGGAUCAGGUAGGGAUACCCGCUGAACUUAAGCAUAUCAAUAAGCGGAGGA
RNAcentral lists this unclassified non-coding RNA (345 nucleotides) under soil metagenome. RNAcentral's name for it is "partial contains 5.8S ribosomal RNA, internal transcribed spacer 2, and large subunit ribosomal RNA". The stretch from base 1 to 119 matches the Rfam family "5.8S ribosomal RNA", at positions 35 to 154 of the family's 154-position model. The record is from RNAcentral.